Molecule: unclassified non-coding RNA, 379 nt
Filed under: uncultured fungus
Lineage: Eukaryota; Fungi
Description: sequence contains ITS1
Rfam family: 5.8S ribosomal RNA (bases 1-105)
Source: RNAcentral
GAAAUGCGAUAAGUAAUGUGAAUUGCAGAAUUCAGUGAAUCAUCGAAUCUUUGAACGCACCUUGCGCUCCUUGGUAUUCCGAGGAGCAUGCCUGUUUGAGUGUCAUGAAUAUCUCAACCCAACAGUUUUUGUAAUGAGAACUGAAGGGCUUGGACUUGGAGGUUUGCCGGCGCUUGUUGGCUCCUCUCUAAAUACAUUAGCUGAGUCUUUCGAGACGUAGCCUCGGUGUGAUAAUUGUCUACGCCGUGUGUUUAUGUUCUUGCUUGCGCCACCCUACUUUUUAGUGGUUGUGUGGCGGAGACUUCUGGCUUCUAAUCGUCUUCGGACAAUCACUUUGACAUCUGACCUCAAAUCAGGUAGGACUACCCGCUGAACUUAA